Virgibacillus sp. SK37 is the source of this 122-nucleotide regulatory RNA element. It matches the Rfam family "PyrR binding site". From Rfam's summary of the family: This family represents the PyrR binding site and terminator structure. The record is from Rfam. Lineage: Bacteria; Bacillati; Bacillota; Bacilli; Caryophanales; Bacillaceae.
GUUACCUUUAAACCAGUCCUGUGAGGCUGGCAAGGUGGAACAGAUAGCCAUCUGUUACUGAAAGAGAAUUACUUCUCUUUGAAGUUAAGCACCUUGCCAUAUUUGGUAAGGUGUUUUUUUAU